This is a long non-coding RNA of Cavia porcellus (domestic guinea pig), 963 nucleotides long. RefSeq lists it as uncharacterized. The transcript has 3 exons. The record is from RefSeq and is a predicted model, not a curated record. Lineage: Eukaryota; Metazoa; Chordata; Mammalia; Rodentia; Caviidae.
CUCUUAGCAUUUUUGUCUGUAGCUGGAAAGCACAAAUUUGUUUUUGGACAGCAAUCAUCUCACUGUCAUUUGGCAUUCGUAGUAUGGUCCCCUGGCAGUCAUUUGCAGUGUAAAUUCGAGUCACAUCCCUGCAGUUUUGCUAUCACUCUUACUAUAAAGUCACCUUGCAGGUUUCCUCUACUAUGUUGUGAUUAUUUUUCAACUUUAUUGCUAUGCUGAUUUGUUUACCAUAUGCUUAUUGAUGAAUUUUGCUCUUAACCCAGAGGUCUUUCUUCAGUGACUGGUAAUAAGAUCAGGAAUCUUUACAGGACAAACCCGAGGAGCCUGAAGGAACCACAGCACUUAAAGAAGAAAAGCUCUGAGUAACUCUCUGCAUGAGUAGGCACUCGUUCAACCUGAGGAGCUCCGCUGAGUCACACUUGAAGAAUCACCUGUAUCAGAAAAGUAUAGAUUGUAACAUGGGACAACGGUACCAAAAACAGAGACCAUGAAGAACAAGUAUGUAUCCACUGUGUGUGAAAAUGUGGACAACUAUUUGGAAGAAAACAAGAGACAAUAUGAUGGACAGUGAAGAUCUCCUGUGGUCUUGCUUUGUAAUCUGUGUUUCUUAAAAUUGUUUCUUUAUGAUCUAUUUUGUUCUGUUUAAUUUUACCCUCUGUAAAAUAAAAAAAAAGAUGUUAACUGUUGAUACAUUAUAUAUGGAUUUUGUCAGAUUGAGAUAGAGAACAUCUAUUCUGAUUUUUCUGUAGGGAUUUAUCAUGGAUGAAUGUUGGGAUUUUGUCAAAGCUUUUUCUACAUCUAAUGAGAUGAUGAUGUGAUUCUUGUCUUUGGUUCUGAUGAUAUGAUGUAUUAAGUUUAUUGGUUUGCAUAUGUUGAACAACCUCUGCAUUCCUGGGAUUCCAACUUUAUCAUGUUAUAUAAUCUUCUUAAUGACUUGCUGUAUUCUAUUUGCAAAUAUUUUAU